RNAcentral lists this ribosomal RNA (253 nucleotides) under uncultured bacterium. RNAcentral's name for it is "partial 16S ribosomal RNA". It matches the Rfam family "Bacterial small subunit ribosomal RNA", at positions 524 to 776 of the family's 1533-position model. The record is from RNAcentral.
UACGUAGGGUCCAAGCGUUAUCCGGAAUCACUGGGCGUAAAGCGUCUGUAGGUGGAUGUUUAAGUGAGAUGUUAAAGCGUGUGGCUCAACCAUAUCGUUGUAUCUCAUACUGGGCAUCUAGAGGAUGGCAGAGGCAAGUGGAAUUGGUAGUGUAGCAGUGAAAUGCGUAGAUAUUACCAGGAACACCAAUGGCGAAGGCAGCUUGCUGGGCCAUUUCUGACACUGAGAGACGAAAGCGUGGGGAGCGAACAGG